AGGUCGUGCCCCAGGUCCCGCCCCUCCAGGCCCCGCGCCCCAGGUCGCGCCCCUGGCCCCCCCCUCCAGGCCCCGCGCCCCAGGUCGUGCCCCAGGCCCCUCUCCUCCGGGCCCCGCGCCGGGUCCCACGCCCCAGGUCGUGCCCCAGGUCCCGCCCCUCCGGGCCCCGCGCCCCAGGUCGCGCCCCUCCGCGGGGACCCCGAGCUCGCCCCGGGUACGGAGGCCGCGGUCCCGGCGUGCGGGCGCCCUCGAGGCCCCAAGGGCCGCGCCGUCGCCACCAGCACGGGCUGCGGUCCCUGCGCCGCCAGGGUCCCGACGGGGCUCCCGGAGCACGGGCUCGGCCGCCUGGCGCCCCGCGCCCCGCCCCCGCCCCCCCCCCCCGCCGGCACCACCCCGAGGCCUCCGGCUGCCGCGGCCCGAGGGACCUGGGGCCUGGGGCCUCCCCGCAGACCCGCGCCCUCCCGCCCGGCCCGGGAAGGAGCCGAAGGGAGCGCGCAAGGGGGGCGUGGCGCCCGGGCCGCCCCGGGGCAGCGCUGGGAACCCCGGCCGCCCCCGCCCGCGCCCCCGCCCCCGCCCCGUCGAGGGCCAGCGCCGUCCGCCCCGGCCCCGCGCCCCUCCCCUCCCCCCUCCCCCCUCCCCCUCCGCGUCUCGGCGCCCAGGCCCCGACCAGUCCCCGCCCUCCGGGACGCGCUCGCUCCCUCCCUCCCUCCCUCCCUCCUUCCUUCCUCCCUCCCCUCCGCUCCCCUCCCUCCCGCUCCCUUCCCAGCGCCCGGAGCCCGGCCGCCCCCGCCCCGCCCCGCCCCGCCCGCCUGCGCCCCGCGCCCCCCGCGCCCCGCGCCCCCGCCCCCCGCGCCCCCUCACUCGCCUGCCGCUGCGCCGCCGCCGGGGACUCGGGCUCCGCGGGCUCCGGGACGGGCCGACCUGUCCUCCGCCUCCUCCUCCGGCUCCUCCGGGCGCCGGCUCCGCCUCGCUGCCUCGCUCGCUCGCUCGGGGAGGCGGGGCGCACGGCUCGACGGGCGGGGCGGCGGCGGCGCCCCCCGGCCUCCCUCCCGGCCUCCCUCCCGGACGCCCUGCCCCGCCCUCCUCCGCCCUCGCCCCGCGCCUCUCCCCCGUCCUCCCCUCCCUCCCUCCCUCCCUCUCCCCUCCCGCCCCUCCCCUCCCCUCUCUCCCUCCCCUCCCUCCCUCCCCUCCCCCUAACUCCUCCCCUUCUCCCCCGUCCCCUCCCUCCUCCUCCCCCUUACCCCUCCCCUUCUCCCCCCUCCUCCUCCCUCCGUCCCCCACUCCCCUCUCCCCUCCCUCUUUCCCGUCCCCUUCCCUCCCCUCCUCCUCCCUCUCCCUCCCCCCUCCUCCUUUCCCCUGUCUCCCUGUCCCCUCCCUCCUCCUCCCUCCCUCCUCCCCCUCCUCCCUCCCUCCCUCUCCCCCUCCCCUUCCCUCCCUCUCUCACUCCCUCUUCCUCUCCCCCUCCCCUACCCCUCUCCCGCCCUUCCCCCCCCGCCCGCCCCCUCCCCCCCACCCCUCCCUCCCCCUCCCCCCCCCCCCCCCCCCACGCCCGGACCCCCGCCCCGAGGCCCGUGCAGACUCCGCGCUCACCCGCCGGCCUCGCCUCGGCCCUCGCGGGCUGCCAGCCCCCCCAGGAGCUGGGCCUGGCUCCAGGAAUGUCUUAAGAAAACAGUCACAGUCCGAUUUAAAGGGCCCUGGGGCCACGGGGACGUUUCGUUUCCCAGAAAACGGUGCUGGAUCCGCGAACCGCGAUUGCGGACCUGGAAGCGCGAGCCCCGCGGCUCCUCCGUCCGUCCGUCUGUCCCGGACCCUGGGCUCCCGCCGGCCGCGAACUCUGGGUUCGGCGGGGAUCGGCCCAGGGGCGGGAGAAGCCACCCGUGUGGACCGAGGCCAGACCGUCGGGCCGGCAGGUGCUGGGCCCCGAGCUGGCGCUGAGCUGGUGCAGACGCAGGGAGAGGACACAGGAGAAGGUGAGGCCCGAGUGGGUCACUUGGAACCGGUGUGGGCAGAGUGUGGUGCAUCGGUGAGGGACGUCUGCGUGUGGACCAGAAGGGAGGCCCAGGGCAGCCGCGGCCCGGGGCUGCAGGAGGGGACGGUGUGCGGCUGGACGCCCUGGCCCGGGCUGUGGGCCCAGCAGCCUGACUGCUCCUCAGAACCCUCAGCCGCUGGACUUGCUGCACGCACCCUGGCCCCCAGCCACCGACACCGGCCACCGAGCACACGGAGCUACAGAGUGGGUUCCUGGCCGCCUGGCAACCCCAGGGUGGCCCCUGCCGCCUCCAAAGCUCCCCGUGAGGUCGGGCCAAACUCCGUGCCCUCCCCUGUGGGACUUUGCCUGCUAUCGCAUUCUUGCCGCGCCUCCCGCUCCCCUUCCAGUGCUCCUUCCUAGGAACACGGUCUAAUCAGACCAGCUAUGUGAUUGGCAGGGCCCCACGCAAGGUAAAGAAGAGUGUUCGUGGCUUAUAGGAACUUCAAAGUGGCAACAGCAGGUGUUAGACCGAGUCCGGGGUCCUGUGUUUCUGCACAGAUGUGCUUGACUCUGCGGAUGGCGCAUCGGCGGAGCUGGUCUGGAUGCUAAUAAAAUGCUUUUCACCUGAGUCCUCACCUAGGUCUGCUUCUGGGGACUCCCCCGCUAAGAUAACAGCUGUCAAAGUAAAACAUCCGCCGUCGGGUACUAGCACAGUCAUCUUACAGGUACUCUAGUCGGCCUCCCGGGGCUUGGGAGGGGGCGGCUCCAGGAAAGGCGGCUGUAACCAGAGCUCCAGCCAGCACAGGAGGGAAAGCAGGUGAGGGUGGCUUAGGUUAGUAGGAUGACGGGGCAGGAAGUCUGGGUUUAGCCCCAUUCGGAGCCAUAAGCACAGUGUUAAUCUGGGUGGGAUUUCAGAUGGAGUUACCUAGAAACACCUUACUUGAAGUUUAAUUGGCAAGUGGUUAAAAGGUUACACCUCACUUGUAAGGAAGUGGGGUUGGCAGGCCUGGGCAGAGGGAGAAGCUCCUCUCAGUGUGGUCACAGCUGGGCCUGGAGUGGGUGGCUCUUCAGAACUAAGCAGAUGCAGCUCACGACGCCCGGGGGGCUCAGCGGGGCAGCCUCCGCCUUCAGCCCAAGGCAUGACCCUGGGGUCCCAGGAUCCGGAUCGAGUCCUGCAUCGGGCUCCCCGCAGGGAGCCUGCUUCUCCCUCUGCCUGUCUCUGCCUCUCUCUCUCUCUCUCUCUCUCUCUCUCUGUGUGUCUCAGGAAUAAAUAAAUAAUAAUCUUAAAAAAAAAAAAAACUAGAUUGAGUCCCCUUCGUAGUCUUCUCUACACCCUGCACCUGGAGAAAGGUGUAGCCAUAGGCAAAGCAGUUCCCUGAGGGCGACGCCCCGGAGGACACGGCUGGGAACGGUCAGGCACGGAUGCGUCAGCGCUGAGCAGAGGAUCUAGGAGACACCGCACGAGAUCUCUCUCGGCAGAUGAUCCCUGAGAUCUCACUCGUUCUUACAGUUGGUCACGACAGGAAAACACAGCCCAGGAGGGCUGGCCCCUGGGUCUUCUGUGUAGCACCUGGACAAUAUUUUAUUGCAUUUAACCCUUCUCAUACUAUAAGGUUAUUUAAUUUCCUAUUUUUUUCCUUCAGGCUUUUAAUUUUUAGUUUUUAAAAAGAUUUAUUUAUUUAUUAUUAUUAUUUAUUUAUUAUUUUACAAAGAGAGAGUGCAGGGGGGAGAGACAGAGGGAGAUGGAGAGAGAAACUCAUGCUGAGUGCAGAGACUGUCCACCUCCGGAGCCUGAGAAAUCAAGAGUCGGUGGCUUCACCGACCGACUGAGCCAGCCAGGCGCUCCUCCUUCCACUCUUUUUUCCUCCCUUUUCUAUGUGUUCUGGCCCAAUUAUUUCCUAGCCCUCCAAUGGCACUGGAGACAAAUAAAUCCAAAUAAAUAAAGCAAUUGCCCAAGAGUAGCAGUGUAGUGAGGUACACAUGAUGGGAUGGAGCCUCUGGGAUCAAGUCCUGAGUUUGCCACUGACAAACUGUGAAUUUGGGGCUCUUAACCCUACUGGGCAUUUACUUGUCUUUAAAAUAGAUUAUAAGAGGGUGGUCUCUAAUGUCCCCAUUUUUUUAAAUAUUUUAUUUAUUUAUUCAUGAGAGAGGCAGAGACACAGGCAGAGGGAGAAGCAGGGGAGCCCGAUGUGGGACUCGAUCCCGGGACCCCGGGGUCACAACCUGGGCCGAAGGCAGAUGCUCCGCCACUGAGCCACCCGGGCAUCCCCUAAUGUCCCACUUUUAAAAGAGAUGGUUUUCUCAUGGGGCACCUGAGUGGCACAGUCCACUGUUAACUCAGUCUUGGUUUCCCUGAGGGUCAAGAUCUCAGGGUCCUGGGGUCCAGCGGCCUUGAGCUCCUGCUCAGUGCACAGUCUGCUUGUCCUUCUCCCUCCUCUAGUCCCCCUCCCCCAGAUACACACCUGUUGGCACUGGGUGAACUUUCUCCCUCAAACAAAUAAAACGUUUAAAAAAAAGGUUUUCUCUGCUAUAUAAUCCCUCAUGAAUCAAACAAGAGAACUUCUUAAAACUCAGAACUGAUUUUUAGAGUUAGUUGCAGUUCAUAUGUGAGGUGCUACCCAGCAAGAACACCCUAAGUCCCGCAGCCGUCAGAAAGAGUUGGGUGAAACGGGAUUCUAAUAGAUGGGGCCGAUGGGGGCGGUGAGGUCCCCGCAGACUUGGGAACGAUUCUUCCGGAAUAUCAGACUUGCUUCCUAAGGAUUUUGCCCGUCCUGUUGCGCGCGGCCACACUCUGCCUGAACCUGCCCCAAAAGUCUCGGAGAGCUCCCUCCUUUUGGAUAGGCUGCCUGGGUAAGUGCCUCACAAACUGGUUUUUCU
This 4846-nucleotide long non-coding RNA is filed under the name Canis lupus familiaris (dog). Its description in RNAcentral is "lncRNA (ENSCAFG00000059468.1)". Lineage: Eukaryota; Metazoa; Chordata; Mammalia; Carnivora; Canidae. The record is from RNAcentral.